Molecule: long non-coding RNA, 953 nt
Organism: Ailuropoda melanoleuca (giant panda)
Lineage: Eukaryota; Metazoa; Chordata; Mammalia; Carnivora; Ursidae
Exons: 3
Source: RefSeq, a predicted model, not a curated record
CAGGCCCUUAAAGCCUCUGGGAGCUCUUCGUCUAAAAGAAAGACAAGCAAACACUGUGGUUUCCAACUUUCCCGGGCUAGCGGACGGACCAAGGGCAGCUGGUACAGAGCAAACGUCAGUGUUUGCACUGCGGUUUCACUCUCCCACCCCCCACCGCCGGGGGGGAACGCGGCCUUGAUAGUUCCGGUAGGAACCUCGUAGGGGCAAAACUUCUCCCUCCGCACCUGCAGGAGAAGUCUCCAAACCUUCCGACGCAACCUCCAUUAAAGACCGCCUCCUCCCUGGCUCUAGACCCCACUUACAAAGAAGGAAAAAACUCCCUACAGCCUUGGGAUAGUUGUCAAUACCCCUCCCCUCCAUCUUGACAGUGUACUGUUCUUUAAUAAAAUGCUUUGUGCUUGCUACAUUCCGUCUUUAUUCGAGAGAGGAUCCUCACAGACAUUUUUUGAGGGGAAUCCAAGAACCGACACUUUCAUUGACACAAUGCAAGCUUCCAUCAGUAACAUCUUUUGGUGCCAUGACUCCAAUCACACAAGAUAUCCUCACGUGCCCCCCCCCUUCCCUUUCUGGAAAGAUGGUCUCAAUCACCUUCUGAAACUUAAUCCAAGACAGGUUCAACUUAAGCUCUUACUGCAACAAGGAUAUCAGCCCCUAUCAAGUGAAUAUCAAAACUACCAUAGCCCCUGGACCGAACGAGUCAAGCCUUCUGAGACCUGGACACAAGCCCCACUCCACCUUAACCUCAUACCACCUCCUAAUGCCCUAGACAGAUAGCAAAGAUUGGGACUCUGACGAAAACACUGCCCCUGUUCAGCAGGAAGGACUACGGAAGCUUGACUUCCGCCCUCAACCUUAAAGACUUCAGAGUCCCAAGUCCUUAAAGGGGGAAUGAUACAGAAGGCUGUUACAUACUAGCUGGAGGCAAGUGCGGCCAUAAAUGGGUUACAUUUAGA